This 251-nucleotide ribosomal RNA is filed under the name uncultured prokaryote. RNAcentral describes it as "partial 16S rRNA". It matches the Rfam family "Bacterial small subunit ribosomal RNA", at positions 525 to 775 of the family's 1533-position model. The record is from RNAcentral.
ACGUAGGGGGCAAGCGUUGUCCGGAAUUAUUGGGCGUAAAGGGCGCGUAGGCGGCCUGGUAAGUCUGGAGUGAAAGUCCUGCUUUUAAUGUGGGAAUUGCUUUGGAUACUGUCGGGCUUGAGUGCAGGAGAGGUAAGCGGAAUUCCCGGUGUAGCGGUGAAAUGCGUAGAGAUGGGGAGGAACACCGGUGGCGAAGGCGGCUUACUGGACUGAAACUGACGCUGAUGCACGAAAGCGUGGGGAGCAAACAG